CCUCUUGCUCAUUCUUUUCCUUCACUGCUUCACAGCGAAACCCUAGCCUCCAUCUUCUUUUGGCUUUUACCAGACGCUUUCCUUUCCUAAAACCUGAACUAUCAUACGCCUCUUCUUCUUCUACCUGCAUCUCAUUCUCUCUGAAUCGGUUGUGCUUGAACGGCUUAACAAAGGAUUCCAAAAUCAAGGUUAUUCACUUACAGAUUCAUCCAGAUAAGAUCCAGGUAAAACAAAAUGCAAUUGGGAAGCUAUCUGAACUGAAGCCAACUGGAUUGAUGUGUUUGUACAACAACUACCAACUGUGAUGAUGAUUUGGGUAUUAAGUGGUUUCUUCCUGGUUGCUAUACACAGGUACGUUGGAAUCUUCACAGCCCACGCGUAUUUCGUAAACCCUAGCUAUCAAAAUCAUCUUCCUUCUUGACUAUUCUACGAUCCAGACGCAAUCAGAUGCAGUCUUUUCAAGUGCAGUUUGUAUGUCUCGCAACGUCAGUUAUCCUGUUCGACUUGGAUUUAGACGAACUUCAAUAGUCAUUAUCCCCUCGCUAUGAAGCACGGGGACGGCUUGGAGCAUCGCGUACCCGUUCCGGGGACGGUUUGGGGACAGAAACGCCAUGGGGACGUCCCCCGAACGUUUCUGUGUAUCUGGGGACGCCAUCGAAACGCUUCCGGGAAAUUGGGGACGGCAGUUUGACGUUUCGGGGACGUUUCCUUAAUAUAUUUAGGCAAUGAUGGAUUUAUGUACAAAGGAGUACGUGGCCAACCAGAGUUUAUAUUAAAUAUGGGAUGAUCGGAAAAUUUUCCGGCUGACCGUUGAAUAGAUUGAGUGGCGGCAAUGAAGAAGAUAACUGAUGGUAGUGGCCUUUCAUCAUUGUUUUUGUAGGGUUUUUAAUAAUUUUUUGUCAUUUUGUCACUUCACACCCUUUGGUUUUCUUUUAUAAUACUUUUAGCACUAAUUUUUAAGAAAGAGUUCAUUAAAAAGUUUGUUUUUUUUCAUUUAACCCCUCUAUUUUAACGAGUUUACAUUUGGUCCAUAUUCUUUUAAGUUUAUAAAAAUAGCACAAAGUUUAAGAUUGUACCACAUUAUAUGGACUUUGUUUAAUAUAUUUUUAUUUUUUUAUAUGUUUUUUCCAUACCUUUGCCGUACCCGUAUCUUGGAUUUUUUAGUUUUGCCGUUGACGGGUGGUCCUUGGGACAACCCUUAAGCAUGUUAAGAUAUGAAAUAAUCCUCCAUUUAACCGCGUAAUUAUCUUGAAUUAGAUAACUACGAUGCUUAUGUUUCAGGUGCGAAUUAGGAGAUAAGAGAUGGAUAAAAGGCAGCUCAUGGAUGCUUUGGUGGAAAACGGGUUGAGAGAAGAACACAAGACAAAACAUAGGAGUCAAGGAUGCUGAGUACCGUAAAUUACGGUUCUACCGUAAUUUACGGUAGACUUGAUUUGUGUUGAUUCCUGCACCGUAACACAGGCUCAAUUCACCGUAACAAUCUGAUAGCCACCGUAAAUUACGGUGGAGCCGUAAUUUACGGUGGUGCCUGAACGUGAAAUGUGUAACUGCCACAAUAUACUCGUUUUUUGGUGUGUCUUUUGGUAUUAUCUCAUCAUUGACGGUUCUUGGAGACUUUGGGAGCGAAUUUGGAGUACUUGCUUGGUUUGUGAACGAUUCUAAACAUUCGGUUUGUGUUUUUAA
This is a long non-coding RNA of Helianthus annuus (common sunflower), 1683 nucleotides long. RefSeq lists it as uncharacterized. NCBI's taxonomy places the organism in Eukaryota, Viridiplantae, Streptophyta, Magnoliopsida, Asterales, Asteraceae. The transcript has 6 exons. The record is from RefSeq and is a predicted model, not a curated record.